ACCCGCUGAACUUAAGCAUAUCAAUAAGCGGAGGAAAAGAAACCAACAGGGAUUGCCUUAGUAACGGCGAGUGAAGCGGCAAAAGCUCAAAUUUGAAAUCUGGCAUCAGCCCGAAUUGUAAUUUGUAGAGGUUAGUUCGGCAAGCAUUUUGGCCCAAGUCUUCUGGAACGGAGCAUCUUGGAGGGUGAGAAUCCCGUACGGUCAAUGUGUUAGCCAUGUGAACUUCCUUCGACGAGUCGAGUUGUUUGGGAAUGCAGCUCUAAUUUGGUGGUAAAUUCCAUCUAAAGCUAAAUAUUGGCCAGAGACCGAUAGCGCACAAGUAGAGUGAUCGAAAGAUGAAAAGCACUUUGGAAAGAGAGUGAAAAAGUACGUGAAAUUGUUGAAAGGGAAGCGCUUGCAAUCAGACUUGUAUACAGUUGUUCAGCUUGUCAUUGACAGGUUCAUUCUUCUGUGUUCAUGCCAACAUCAGUUUGAGCGGUUAGAUAAAGGUUUGGGGAAUGUGAAUCUUCGGAUUGUUAUAGCCCCUUACACAAUAUAACCAGUUUGGACUGAGGUCAGCGUUCGCUAGGAUGUUGGCUUAAUGGUUGUCAGCGGCCCGUCUUGAAACACGG
This 611-nucleotide ribosomal RNA is filed under the name uncultured fungus. Its description in RNAcentral is "eukaryotic LSU rRNA". It matches the Rfam family "Eukaryotic large subunit ribosomal RNA", at positions 23 to 664 of the family's 3401-position model. Lineage: Eukaryota; Fungi. The record is from RNAcentral.